GCCUUACUCUAAAAUGUAUUAAAUCGUUUUUUCCACUCAUCUACACACAAUACCCCAUAAUGACAAAGCAAAAACAGGUUGAGUGGUCAGAACGCUCGGAUCAACUUGUGCCUCUGAGAGCGAAAUGCUCUGAAUUUAUUAAAGGACAAUCUGACUCUGACUCUCCAAUACUCUGAAUUUACAAAUGCCCAGAGCACACUCUGAGUGUCCCUGGCACUCCAGAUUGAAUUUACGAGGUUAUGUGAGGUUUUAUGUGUUGUUGUUGGAGGUGCGUCUUGGUCAGUUUAGCUCAGAAAAUGCUGCCCUCCUCAAUGGCCCCCUAAUCGUGCCUAAUUAGCGGGCCGACCGUGGUUACUCAUCAUUUAACAUCUAAACAGCCCUUGCCCAAAAUGCCAGAUGGCCAGGCCACCCCUGGUGGGCAGGGCUAAAACAAUGGUAUCUGAGCCUGCGCGCUGGCCUCUGUUCGCCGAUAGACGAGACCACCUCGCUGCUUUUUUGCUACAGCUAGAACAAGUCGUAUAAUUUACUGAUAUUAAAUUAUAUCAGCAAUUUCAACCGUAACAACAAUAUUUUACAAUGGCUAGGUACAUGAGGCCCCCUAACCCAUCACUCUUCAUUAGAAACAUCUCCGACGAAUCCAGGCCAGAGGAACUACGCCGUGAAUUUGGUCGUUAUGGGCCUAUUGUAGAUGUCUACAUUCCACUUGACUUCUCUACACGGCGACCAAGAGGAUUUGCUUACAUUCAAUAUCCUUUAUACUCAUGUAAUGUAUUAAUGAACAUGUCUUUCAUUCGGUGCAUUAUUAUUAUUCACACGUGGGGUCAUAUUGACAAUGUCACACGUCUUGAGUUUGCCUACUGUUUUGAAGUAUCGUAUAUUUGUCAUAAAAGUAGGCUAUACUGGUUUAUGGGAGGGGAACAUUGAAUGUUGUUAAACACAGUAAAAUGUGUACAGACAUGAAUCAACAUCUCCUCUUCUAACUAAAAUUGCUUCUGUUACCCUAGAAAUGUUAGACGUACAGUUCUGGAGAAACCCCAACAAAGAAUGUAAAGACUGGUGUAGUGUAGUUUCAAGCCAAAGGGACCAUAAUGAUUUCAGGCAACAGGAAAUAGUGGGAGAAGAACACAAAGAGCAAAGUUAAAGCACGAAGAUACAAGGAGGCGAAAAGAGGGCACGAAGGCAGCCGUUUGUCUACCAAAGAAAGGAAAAUAAAAGGAUGUAUUGGGCGAAGACAAGCCGGAAAUCUCAAGUUCUUCUGCCAAGCAGUUAAAGAGCAUAAAGGUCAAGCUGAAGCUCAAAGGUCAAGCAUGUUAAAGGUAACAAGCUUAAUGUUUUCACAUUCGAGGACGUGCGAGAUGCAGAGGAUGCCCUCCACAACCUGGACCACAAGUGGGUGUGUGGUCGACAGAUCGAGAUCCAGUUUGCACAGGGUGACCGAAAAACCCCCAACCAGAUGAAGACUAAGGAGAGCUCUCCUCGCAGAGGGUCCCGCAGCAGCUCCUUCUCCCGCUAUGACGACUACGAACGCGGCGAUGGCCGACGCAGACGCUCUCGCAGUCGCAGCUAUGAAAGGCGCCGGUCACGCAGCCCUUCCUGCGACCGCCGUCCUCGGAGGUCGGAGAGCCCUAGAGACUCUCGAUCAUAUGGCAGGCACAGGCGAAGCAGAAGCCAUGAAAAUGACAGGUACAGGGGCCCUCCACGUGAACACCACAGGAUGCACCACGCACCCCCGUCUCGUAACCGCUCCGCAUCCCGCUCCCCCUCUCCUCCCAGAUCCAGGCCCAAAGACACAAAGUCUCAGUCCAAAUCCCCCAGCCCCGUCAAGGACUUCCACCCCUCUUCUGGCUCCCAGAAACAGGCCUGUCGACGCUCCUACUCCAGAUCUGUGUCCCGAUCUCGCUCCAGAUCCUAGGACCCCACCACCUUCAAACCCUGUUAUUCUGUAGCUAAAGGUGUUUUUGUUCAACACUACAACAUAUGAAUAUGGUAUCUAGGGAGUGGUUAUUACACACCCCACCUCGGUUCAUUAGUUGAGUUAACAUGAUAUCUCUGGGCUGAUGCCAUACAACAGGAGAGCUGGUUGUCCCUACAGAUGGAUAGUACUUUUUUAUGUUAGUUCAGUUUCAUUCACCUCUGAAAAACAUUGGCUGUCUUCAAUUUACAUUCAUAUCGGUUUAAUUCUAUUAAUUGAGAACCCAAUGGAUUUAAGUUCAGCACAUAAGAAUUGGUCAACUAUGAAAUGCAAAUGUACAGUUUUGGGCUAACGGGUAUUAACCUCUGGCUACAGAAGAGGUUAAGAGUCCAAAAACCCAUUUAUAAGAAAAGAGAAGUUAUAAAUCUGGAGUUAGCAGCGAUAUCUAGCCAUCAAGUUAACUGCUAUUAUUUUUGUACAUUUGAUGUUGCUAAAAUCUCCUGCAUUUAUUUUUUUUGUUGAUCAAUUGUUAUUUUUUGUGUUCAAAUCGAGCAGCAGUGUUUUCUUUUUGUGGAUUAAAAAUGUUAUGUUUUAACUUUUCUAAUCAUCCGAGUUGUACAAAGAUGUCGCUCCCUUGAAAGUAUGAGACACCGGACAGUUUGUUAGGGACACCUAUCCAUUACUGUGUUGCCCCACCCCCCCCUUCCCCUCCAGAACAGCCAGUAUUCUUCGGGCCGUUCUACAAGGUGUCAGUAGUGUUCCACAGGGAUUUUGGACCUUGCUGGUGCAAUGGCAUCUCGCAGAUUGGAGACAUCACGCAAACAUUCAUGCUGCGAACAGCCCGUUCAAUCUCAUCCCAAAGAUGCUCUAAGUAAAAUGAACUCGCUGUCAUGUUCCAGGUGCUGUUUUUCCACUCAGUUGUCCAGUGUUGGUGAUCGUGUGCCCACUGGAGGCGCUUCUUCUUCUUGUUUUUAACUUAUAGGAGUGGAACCCGGUGUGGUUGUCUGCUGUAUAGCCCAUCAGUGACAAGCAUCAACAAGUUGUGCAUUCUGAGAUUCCGUUCUCCGUCGAUUAGGUUACUCGUUUUGUCCAUCCUAACGUUCAAUUUAACAAUGUCUCGAUGCAUGCUUUAUAUAGCAAGCCACGGUUUGUAGGAGCGAUCAAUUUUUUGGGUGAGCUGGGUGGUUUACCAAAUAAAAGUAUUGUUGGAUAGGUUUAAUUCUGUCUGACUUCUUACCUGUAAAGUUUUAAAAUGUACCCUAUUGGUAAUAUUUUUUUGUGUAAUAUACACUACAUGACCAAAAGUAUGUGGCCAUCUGCUCUUCGAACAUCUCAUUCCAAAAUCAUGGUCAUUAAUAUGGAGUUGGUACCCCCCCUUUGCUGCUAUAACAGCCUCCACUCUUCAGAGAAGACUUUCCACUAGAUUUUGGAAGAUUGCUGCAGGGACUUCAAUUCAGCCAUGUGCAUUAGUGAGGUUGGGUGAUUAGGUCUGGCUCGCAUUCGGCGUUCCAAUUAAUCUCAAAGGUUUUUGAUGGGGUUGAGGCCAGGGCUCGUGCAGCCCAGUCAAAUUCUUCCACACAGAUCUCGACAAACCGUUUCUCUAUGGAUCUCGCUUUGUGCAUGGGGGCAUUGUCAUGCUGAAACAAGAAAGGGCCUUCCCCAAACUGUUGCCACAAAGUUGGAAGCACAGAAUCAUCUAGAAUGUCAUUGUAUGCUGUAGUGUUAAGAUUUCCCUUCACUGGAGUUAAGGGGGCCUAGCUGGAACCAUUAUUCCUCCUCCACCAAACCUUACAGUUGGCGCUA
This 3715-nucleotide long non-coding RNA is filed under the name Salmo salar (Atlantic salmon). RNAcentral's name for it is "lncRNA (ENSSSAG00000083808.1)". Lineage: Eukaryota; Metazoa; Chordata; Actinopteri; Salmoniformes; Salmonidae. The record is from RNAcentral.